This 104-nucleotide non-coding RNA is filed under the name Pycnococcus provasolii. The record is from RNAcentral. Lineage: Eukaryota; Viridiplantae; Chlorophyta; Pseudoscourfieldiophyceae; Pseudoscourfieldiales; Pycnococcaceae.
CAAUCAAUACGGCAAUUACGCACAAAACAAAGAAUGAACAAACAAACAAACAAAAAGUGAACAACACACACACCGUUGUCGUAUCGUAUUUCUGUGCAUUUGUU